Molecule: ribosomal RNA, 260 nt
Filed under: uncultured bacterium
Lineage: Bacteria
Description: partial small subunit ribosomal RNA
Rfam family: Bacterial small subunit ribosomal RNA
Source: RNAcentral
AGAGCGAACGCUGGCGGCGUGCUUAACACAUGCAAGUCGAGUGCGCGUCUGUAGCAAUACAGAUGGCGCACGGCGCACGGGUGCGUAACACGUGGGCAAUCUGCCCUUCGAUGGGGAAUAACCUCGCGAAAGCGAGGCUAAUUCCGCAUAACAUUCCGAUGAUCUAGGUCAAUGGAUUCAAAGCCGUAAGGCGUCGAAGGAGGAGCCCGCGCACGAUUAGCUAGUUGGUGAGGUAACGGCUCACCAAGGCUAUGAUCGUU